CUCAGGAAAGUAACAGCAGUAGUGCUAAGAAUAAAUGAGAAAGCCACACUGAGGGCAGAAAGAGGUGAGCAACCAGCAUUUUAACUCUGAGGGAGAACAGUUGAUCCCAGAAAAUUCUCAGACCUGCAGACCUGAGGCCAUGUCACUUUUCAGUGACUGCUUGUCGCUGACUGUUUAUGUGAAUGUCUGCACUGAGUCCGGAUUGAACUGCUUGGCAAGCUCAUCGGGGCCCUAGACUCUGCUCUGGAAUUUGUGUCUACAGUCCGGGAAGCUAUCGGGAAGUGACAGGAAAUGCACAUGAUGGGGGCAAAACUGGAACGUGACAGCUGGCCCAGCACCUGGCCAGAGCAGGCAGCAGCCUAGAUGUUGUUCUCAGGGGUGCCACCCACCUGCCCACUGUGUCCAUGCUUCCCUGGGCCCGCCCAUGGGCCUGUUUGUGCUACUCAGUAGGUGGUUUUUAGAAAGCGCUUCCUUCAGAGUCAUGAGCAACAGGAGUCGUAGUCCAUUUGCGUGAGGAAAAUGCACUUAUCCUUCGGUUUCCGAUUGCCUGUAGACUGCAUCUGUCAUAGACAAACACCCUCAUCUUUUACAGAGAGCCAGUCUCUUUAAACUUCGUUUCUAACGCUUAUUCUUUUUGCCCUAUGUAGGAAACCACUGAUUGCUUGUGUGGAGAAACAGCUAUUAGGAGAACAUUUAACAGCAAUUCUGCAGAAAGGGCUUGAUCACUUACUGGAUGAGAACAGAGUGCCGGACCUCGCACAGAUGUACCAGCUGUUCAGCCGGGUGAGGGGCGGGCAGCAGGCGCUGCUGCAGCACUGGAGCGAGUACAUCAAGGUACUGGUGGGUUUGAGGUAGCAGGCGCGGGCGUUCCCUGCAGGGAGCAGAGCCCCUCCUGCGAACGCCCGGGGCCCUGGUAAAGGGAACUGGGCUGCUGGAGGGGCCGUUUGCAUUUUCAUCACAGAUGGUGGGUGGACGGUAGGUUUCCAUCUGCUUCCCAAUCACCAGUGUAAAUUCGUUUUUUAAGAUACCACCAGCAGUGAUUAGCAACAUCCAGGUAGAAAGUAUAACUUAAAGAACAGCUGCUUUGCUAUUCUUCAUCAGCAUAAAUAUUGGUUUAAUUCUACAGUCAUGAUUUUUCUGAAAGGAAUCAUUUUUGUAAACCUGCUUGUGAAACAUGAUCUUUCAUGCCCUUUGCUCAGUGAGGACUAUUAUAUAUUUGGCAUGUCAGGUUGCAUUGUAGACUUUAUUUUUUAAUGGUCCAAAUUUAGGAUUUACUACUUAAACUUUCACGUUUCAAAAGCAUUUCUUUGGCAUUGCUGACAAGCCUGAUCCAGCCUGUACAUAAAGUGAGUUCUUGGGCAGUACCCUGAGUUUUCACAUGUCCUGCCCUGGAGUAUGACCCCUUGGCGCUGGCACAGACCUCACUGAUUGAGCAGUACCCUGAGUUUUCACAUGUCCUGCCCAGGAGAGUGGCCCCUUGGUGCUGGUAACAGACCUCACUGAUUGAGCAGUACCCUGAGUUUUCACAUGUCCUGCCCUGGAGUAUGGCCCCU
Cebus imitator (Panamanian white-faced capuchin) is the source of this 1553-nucleotide long non-coding RNA. RefSeq lists it as uncharacterized. The record is from RefSeq and is a predicted model, not a curated record. Lineage: Eukaryota; Metazoa; Chordata; Mammalia; Primates; Cebidae. The transcript has 2 exons.